This 301-nucleotide ribosomal RNA is filed under the name uncultured Mycobacterium sp. RNAcentral describes it as "bacterial SSU rRNA". It matches the Rfam family "Bacterial small subunit ribosomal RNA", at positions 526 to 826 of the family's 1533-position model. The record is from RNAcentral. Lineage: Bacteria; Bacillati; Actinomycetota; Actinomycetes; Mycobacteriales; Mycobacteriaceae.
CGUAGGGUGCGAGUGUUGUCCGGAAUUACUGGGCGUAAAGAGCUCGUAGGUGGUUUGUCGCGUUGUUCGUGAAAUCUCACGGCUUAACUGUGAGCGUGCGGGCGAUACGGGCAGACUAGAGUACUGCAGGGGAGACUGGAAUUCCUGGUGUAGCGGUGGAAUGCGCAGAUAUCAGGAGGAACACCGGUGGCGAAGGCGGGUCUCUGGGCAGUAACUGACGCUGAGGAGCGAAAGCGUGGGGAGCGAACAGGAUUAGAUACCCUGGUAGUCCACGCCGUAAACGGUGGGUACUAGGUGUGGG